This 301-nucleotide ribosomal RNA is filed under the name uncultured bacterium. RNAcentral's name for it is "partial 16S ribosomal RNA". It matches the Rfam family "Bacterial small subunit ribosomal RNA", at positions 509 to 809 of the family's 1533-position model. The record is from RNAcentral.
CAGCAGCCACGGUAAUACGGAGGGUGCAAGCGUUAAUCGGAAUUACUGGGCGUAAAGCGCACGCAGGCGGUCUGACAAGUCAGAUGUGAAAUCCCCGGGCUUAACCUGGGAACUGCAUUUGAAACUGUCAGGCUGGAGUCUUGUAGAGGGGGGUGGAAUUCCAGGUGUAGCGGUGAAAUGCGUAGAGAUCUGGAGGAAUACCGGUGGCGAAGGCGGCCCCCUGGACAAAGACUGACGCUCAGGUGCGAAAGCGUGGGGAGCAAACAGGAUUAGAUACCCCAGUAGUCCCUGUCUCUUAUAA